Molecule: long non-coding RNA, 441 nt
Filed under: Gallus gallus (chicken)
Lineage: Eukaryota; Metazoa; Chordata; Aves; Galliformes; Phasianidae
Source: RNAcentral
UGUGCCAGUGGACUCCGUGUCACUUUGCCGUAGACAUUGUUCUCCAUCUCCCCCUCCCAGGCAAAACGAUCACUCUCCGGAGCCCUGACUGCUGAAGAGAUGCAUCUCCUGUCAUCUGUAAGAGUGUCUGACUGAACAGUGCACAAAGGCCCUUUCCUGUUGAGCGCUGAUCGGUAGCUUGGGGGCACAGCUGCAUUCCCCUUGCUAACAGCUCCACUGGCUAAGUUCAAGCUUGUUAACUGCUGUGUAAGGAGGCUGAUGUGGCUUGGUGGGGAAUACUGACAAGCUGCUUGUUUUUCUGCCAGCUGCUGCAGUUCUGCUGCCACCAUACUGGGGCUGUAACGUUUGCCCAGGGAAGGAGCAUCUUCUGUACCUUUGUUCAUCAUGAUGGAGCUCACACGCUGCCCACUUGGACUGCGAUGGCGCAAACCUGCUUUUGCA